RNAcentral lists this ribosomal RNA (274 nucleotides) under uncultured bacterium. RNAcentral describes it as "partial 16S ribosomal RNA". It matches the Rfam family "Bacterial small subunit ribosomal RNA", at positions 523 to 796 of the family's 1533-position model. The record is from RNAcentral.
AUACGGAGGGUGCAAGCGUUACUCGGAAUCACUGGGCGUAAAGGACGCGUAGGCGGGUUGGAAAGUCUGAUGUGAAAUCCUACAGCUUAACUGUAGAACUGCAUUUGAAACUGCUAACCUAGAGUAUGGGAGGGGGAGAUGGAAUUAGUGGUGUAGGGGUAAAAUCCGUAGAUAUCACUAGGAAUACCGAAAGCGAAGGCGAUCUCCUGGAACAUAACUGACGCUAAGGCGUGAAAGCGUGGGGAGCAAACAGGAUUAGAAACCCUAGUAGUCC